This 334-nucleotide unclassified non-coding RNA is filed under the name soil metagenome. Its description in RNAcentral is "partial contains 5.8S ribosomal RNA, internal transcribed spacer 2, and large subunit ribosomal RNA". The stretch from base 1 to 120 matches the Rfam family "5.8S ribosomal RNA", at positions 35 to 154 of the family's 154-position model. The record is from RNAcentral.
GAUUAAGAACGUAGCGAAAUGCGAUAAGUAAUGUGAAUUGCAGAAUUCAGUGAAUCAUCGAAUCUUUGAACGCACAUUGCGCCCGCCAGUAUUCUGGCGGGCAUGCCUGUUCGAGCGUCAUUUCAACCAUCAAGCCCCCGGCUUGUGUUGGGGACCUGCGGCUGCCGCAGGCCCUGAAAUGCAGUGGCGGGCUCGCUGUCACUCCGAGCGUAGUAGUUACAUCUCGCUCUGGGCGUGCUGCGGGUUCCGGCCGUUAAAAGCCUUAUUUACCCAAGGUUGACCUCGGAUCAGGUAGGAAGACCCGCUGAACUUAAGCAUAUCAAUAAGCGGAGGA